This 3964-nucleotide long non-coding RNA is filed under the name Salmo salar (Atlantic salmon). Its description in RNAcentral is "lncRNA (ENSSSAG00000111210.1)". Lineage: Eukaryota; Metazoa; Chordata; Actinopteri; Salmoniformes; Salmonidae. The record is from RNAcentral.
UUUUGAUACUCUUGUCUACACGUUGUCUCCCUUUUGUUGCAAACUCUGAGCCGGUUCGUAACAGGAGUAAGACAGCCUUGGGACAGAAGUAACAGCUGGCGAGAAGUGCACAAAAUCUUAUCUCCAUGUUUCUGGUUUGUAAUGCUCAUUGCUUUCAACAAAUGUACUAUCAGACAUAAGUUCAUGUUUGUGACGAUUUGAAUAAUUAAUGCAAUAGGUUCGAAAUUUAUAAAAAUGAACCAAGCGUUAACAUCGCAAUGUUGCGCAACCACUAUUUUGCCAUACUAAAAUCAGACUAUAAUAUUAACCAUUAUUUUCUCAUCUCACUUUAAUGGGAAUGUAGUAGGAUAUGUUUUUCACCAUUUGAAAUGACUAUUCAUGCUUAGCGCUACCAAUCAGGUGCCCCACAGCUGUCCUUUUCAUGCGCGCUCCUUAGUUCUUGACAGAAUAAACGUCUUUAUUCUCUUCACAAAUGGGAGCUCGUCCUCCACAUUAGGAACUUGCGGACUUCACUUCGUCAUUCCAGUUUCUGUGUUAUCUGAGAAAAUGGGCGUGUUACUUUACCCGGUGUUACUUUCACCCCAGUUUUACUUGACUAUUUAUAGAUUUGAGUACUUUUACUCCACUACAUUCCUAAAAUAAAUAUGUACUUUUUACUCCCAUACAUUUUUCCUGCCAUCCAACAGUACUCGUUACAUUCGAAUGCUUAGAAGGACAGGAAAAUGGUCCAAUUCACAUACUUAUCAAGAGAACAGGGGAUCCCUACUGCCUCUAAUCUAGCAGACACACUGAACACAAAUGCUUUGUUUGUUUGUAAAUGAUAUCUGAGUGCUGGAGGGUGCCCCUGGCUGUCUGUAAAUGAAAAAAAAUUAAAUUGUGCCAUCUGGUUUGCUUAAUAUAUGAUUUACAGCAUUUACUUUGGGCUCCCGAGUGACGCAGCGCUCUAAGGUACUGCAUCUCAGUGCUAGAGGUGUCACUACAGAUCCUGGUUCGAUUACAGGCUGUAUCACAACUGCCGGUGAUUGGGAGUCCCAUAGGGCGGCGCACAAUUGGCCCAGUGUCGUCCGGGUUAGUUUUUGGCUGUCAUUGUAAGUAAGAAUUUGUUCUUAACUGACUUUCAUAGUUAAAGAAAGGUUAAACAAAGAAAAAAUACUUCUGAUACUUAAGUACACUACCAUUCAAAAGUUUGGGGUCACUUAGAAAUGUCCUUGUUUUUGAAAGAAAAGCAAAAAAAAAUUGGCCAUUAAAAUAACAUCAAAUUCAUCAGAAAUACAGUGUAGACAUUGUUAAUGUAAAUGAGUAUUGUAGCUGAAAUCUGCAGAUUUUUUUAUGGAAUAUCUACAUAGGCAUACAGAGGCCCAUUAUCAACAACAAUCACUCCUGUGUUCCAAUGGCACGUUGUGUUAGCUAAUCCAAGUUUAUCAUUUUAAAAGGCUUAUUGAUCAUUAGAAAACCCUUUUGCGAUUAUGUUAGCACAGCUGAAAACUGUUGUCCUGAUUAAAGAAGCAAUAAAACUCCUUCUUUAGACUAGUUGAGUAUCUGGAGCAUCAGCAUUUGUGGGUUCAAUUACAGGCUCAAAAUGGCCAGAAACAAAAACCUUUCUUCUGAAACUCGUCAGUCUAUUCUUGUCCUGAGAAAUGAAGGCUAUUCCAUGCGAGAAAUUGCCAAGAAACUGAAGAUCUCAUACAGCGCUGUGUACUACUCCCUUCACAGAACAGUGCAAACUGUCUCUGACCAGAAUAGAAAGAGGUGUGGGAGGCCCUGGUGCACAACUGAGCAAGAGGACAAGUACAUUAGAGAGUCUAGUUUGAGAAACAGACGCCUCACAAGACCUCAACUGGCAGUUUCAUUAAAUAGUACCCGCAAAACACCAGUCUCAACGUCAACAGUGAAGAGGCGACUCCGGGAUGCUGGCCUUCUAGGCAGAGUUCCCCUGUCCAGUGUCUGUGUUCUUUUGCCCAUCUUAAUCUUUUCUUUUUAUUGACCAAUCAGAGAUAUGGCUUUUUAUCUUUGCAACUCUGCCUAGAAGGCCAGCAUUCCGGAGUCGCCUCUUCACUGUUGACGUUGAGACUUGUGUUUUGCGGGUACUAUUGGGGAGGGACUUGGGGAGGACACUUAAAUCUUCCUGUGCCAGGUGGAUGUCGGGCUUAGGGGCAUGAUGCUUUGUAAUAUAGCAAAGAUUAUCUAUUAUAUUUACAUUUACAUUUUAGUCAUUUAGCAGACGCUCUUAUCCAGAGCGACUUACAGUAGUGAAUGCAUACAUUUCAUUAUUUAAAAAAAAAAAAUUGUUGUUGUACUAUAUGUAGUUAGAACUGUUAUCCCCAUUGCACAAUGCUGAUAGAAUAAUUAAGUGAUAAUGCCCGAGAAGCCGGUGUUUGGAGGAUAUAUUGGCACGGGUGUUGUUAGGCCCAAGACGAAGUCCAGGGCCAGCAAACCGUGCCAAAAUAUUGAGGGCAUACAAAGGGUUAACCAACAUAUUCAAAUAAUGAUAUACAUAAUUUAAUUAAAAACGUUAUUUUGCUGAAUUUAUUCAUACUAUUUCACCCUUCCACAAGAUAUAGUCCCGACACAAAUCUAGGGUUGUUACCCAAGCCGGCUGGUUGUUCUAUCGAUUCGGUUGCCAGAGAUGCGAACCAGUCGUUCAGUCUUUUUGUUCUGUAUCUAUGGACGCGACCCAGUUGUCCGUUCUAAAUGUUCCAUUGUCAUACUAGCUGGCAACGUUCUUAUCCCUUGCUUGCUAGCUAGUCAACUACAGCUAAUUUACAGCACAUCAAACAGUGCAGCCAGAAUAACAGUAGCUGCAUUUGCAUUUGUUUAAACUGUUUUCUAGUGACAUUUAUUUGGAUACAUCCAUAACAAUGAGCUAAUGAGGCACAAUUUAGCCUGGCAUAGAAAAUGUGCUCUCUCAUCAGGAUACUUUUGUUCACAGGAGCUAGCCAACACAGCUAACACAAUCACUUCAAACUGAAGCUGGAAAGACUGCACACUAGCACUACUUCAUUUCGCGGUACCUUUUUUCAAUUUAUAUUUCUUUGUAUAUAUCCAUAAAAAUGAUGCCAGCUGAUUCAUAAUUCAAGACUGGCUAAGAGAAGCUGCCUGUCUGUCUGUCUGUCUCGUCCUGACUCCCGACACGUUCCUUACUAUAGGACAGCUGGAGAUCCAAUUUUAAUAUUGAAACAAUGUUGCAAAUGUCGGAGAGACAGACAGCAAGGUUAUUACAAAUCUCCACUGUUGAAAACUAAAUGAAAAUCUUUAGUAAAUGUGAGAUAAUGUCUAGAAGUUUUUUAUAGUGGAGAUCAAGUUUAUAAAUUGCCUGGCUGGGCUGAUGAGACGGUGGAUUGCGCAGUCAGAUGGAACAGAGUAAAUAGGCAUUUUAACAUCAUAGAUUUAGCAGGUGGUGACUUGUGGAAUUGACUUUUAACCAAUCAGCAAUGUAUGCAAUGCACCUUUUAAAGGCAAAGUUCCUGAGUUCGCUCGCAGAGACCAGAUUCAUAGUAAACCCUGCAUAUGUCAUCUUAAAUUACCUUUAAAUAGCAUGUUGUCCAAAUCCGUGAUGAGCACAGUGAGGUGGCAGUUAUCACUCUGCAGUUUCUAGUAAUUCAUCUAAACAGAGUAGAGGCAGAGUUGCCAGAAUGGCCCCAGAAGCAUAGUCAGAAUGGCCCAGAAAGUGUAGCCAGAAUGGUCCUGGUAGCGUAGCCAGAAUGGUCCUGGUAGCGUAGCCAGAACGGUCCCGGAAGCGUAGCCAGAACGGUCCCGGAAGCGUAGCCAGAACGGUCCCGGAAGCGUAGCCAGAACGGUCCCGGAAGCGUAGCCAGAACGGUCCCAGAAGCGCGCGGCCAGAAUGGUCCAAGCGUAGUCGGAAUCACUCCUGGAAGCAUAGACAGUCUUAUUUGUAGGAUUCUUCCUCUUAAUCACAUGACUAAACCAGCCAAUAUAUAUUUGUUUGUAUAAUUUUGUUUUGUUU